This 460-nucleotide ribosomal RNA is filed under the name uncultured bacterium. Its description in RNAcentral is "partial 16S ribosomal RNA". It matches the Rfam family "Bacterial small subunit ribosomal RNA", at positions 338 to 795 of the family's 1533-position model. The record is from RNAcentral.
CCUACGGGAGGCAGCAGUGAGGAAUAUUGGUCAAUGGGCGCUAGCCUGAACCAGCCAAGUAGCGUGAAGGAUGACUGCCCUAUGGGGUGUAAACUUCUUUUAUAUGGGAAUAAAGUGCAGUAUGUAUACUGCUUUGCAUGUACCUUAUGAAUAAGGAUCGGCUAACUCCGUGCCAGCAGCCGCGGUAAUACGGAGGAUGCGAGCGUUGUCCGGAUUUAUUGGGGUUAAAGGGAGCGUAGGCGGGUUGUUAAGUCAGUAGGGAAAGAUUACAGCUCAACUGUAAAAUUGCUAGUGAUACUAGCAUCCUUGAGUACCAGAGAGGAUGGCAGAAUUCGUGGUGUAGCGGUGAAAUGCUUAGAUAUCAGGAGGAAUUCCGUUAGCGAAGGCGGCCAUCUGGCUGGAAACUGACGCUGAGGUGCGAAAGUGUGGGUAGCAAACAGGAUUAGAUACCCGGGUAGUC